RNAcentral lists this transfer RNA (76 nucleotides) under Caloramator sp. RNAcentral's name for it is "tRNA-Thr". It matches the Rfam family "tRNA". From Rfam's summary of the family: Transfer RNA (tRNA) molecules are approximately 80 nucleotides in length. Lineage: Bacteria; Bacillati; Bacillota; Clostridia; Eubacteriales; Clostridiaceae. RNAcentral also lists the same sequence under 1 other name. The record is from RNAcentral.
GCCGGCUUAGCUCAAUCGGUAGAGCAACUGACUUGUAAUCAGUAGGUUAUUGGUUCGAUUCCGAUAGCCGGCUCCA